GUGUAAUUCAUGUUUUAGAAGAGAGCCAAGUAAUCAAGUAAUUGAUAUUAGUCUUGUGCAAACAUGCGUAGAUUAGAAGGAAUUUUUUUGUGGGGGAAAUGCCUGAAACACAUUUUUGCAUAAUUGUAAUGGUUACUUGAAACAAGCAUGUUAAACCUGAAAGUCAGAAUAUAUGUUAACCACUUCACUGUCAGGUUAUUUUGCUUAAACUCUCAAGGACGGAGGCAAUUGUACAAGUU
Non-coding RNA from Pelobates cultripes (western spadefoot toad), 239 nucleotides. NCBI's taxonomy places the organism in Eukaryota, Metazoa, Chordata, Amphibia, Anura, Pelobatidae. The record is from the annotation of a GenBank genome assembly.